UACGUAGGAGGCGAGCGUUAUCCGGAUUUACUGGGCGUAAAGGGGGUGCAGGCGGCUUUUCAAGUCGGAUGUGAAAUCUCCCGGCUUAACUGGGAGGGGUCAUUCGAUACUGUUGGGCUAGAGGACAGCAGGGGGAGAUGGAAUUCCCGGUGUAGUGGUGACAUGCGUAGAUAUCGGGAGGAACACCAGUGGCGAAGGCGGUCUCCUGGGCUGUUUCUGACGCUGAGGCCCGAAAGCGCGGGGAGCGAACAGGAUUAGAUACCCCUGUA
Molecule: ribosomal RNA, 269 nt
Filed under: uncultured prokaryote
Description: partial 16S ribosomal RNA
Rfam family: Bacterial small subunit ribosomal RNA
Source: RNAcentral